AGGMGGAMCGUGGCGCSKGCCUAAUACAUGCAAGUCGAGCGGAUCUKCAUUAGCUUGCUUUUGAAGAUCAGCGGCGGACGGGUGAGUAACACGUGGGCAACCUGCCUGUAAGACUGGGAUAACUUCGGGAAACCGGAGCUAAUACCGGAUAAUCCUUUCCCUCACAUGAGGGAAAGCUGAAAGACGGUUUCGGCUGUCACUUACAGAUGGGCCCGCGGCGCAUUAGCUAGUUGGUGAGGUAACGGCUCACCAAGGCAACGAUCGUAGCCGACCUGAGAGGGUGAUCGGCCACACUGGACUGAGACACGGCCCAGACUCUACGGGAGGCAGCAGUAGGGAAUCUUCCGCAAUGGACGAAAGUCUGACGGAGCAACGCCGCGUGAACGAUGAAGGCUUUCGGGUCGUAAAGUUCUGUUGUCAGGGAAGAACAAGUAUCGGAGUAACUGCCGGUACCUUGACGGUACCUGACCAGAAAGCCACGGCUAACUACGUGCCAGCAGCCGCGGUAAUACGUAGGUGGCAAGCGUUGUCCGGAAUUAUUGGGCGUAAAGCGCGCGCAGGCGGUUCCUUAAGUCUGAUGUGAAAGCCCCCGGCUCAACCGGGGAGGGUCAUUGGAAACUGGGGAACUUGAGUGCAGAAGAGGAGAGCGGAAUUCCACGUGUAGCGGUGAAAUGCGUAGAGAUGUGGAGGAACACCAGUGGCGAAGGCGGCUCUCUGGUCUGUAACUGACGCUGAGGCGCGAAAGCGUGGGGAGCGAACAGGAUUAGAUACCCUGGUAGUCCACGCCGUAAACGAUGAGUGCUAAGUGUUAGAGGGUUUCCGCCCUUUAGUGUGAGAAACGAUUAGCAUCGC
Molecule: ribosomal RNA, 852 nt
Filed under: Bacillus sp. P125
Lineage: Bacteria; Bacillati; Bacillota; Bacilli; Caryophanales; Bacillaceae
Description: bacterial SSU rRNA
Rfam family: Bacterial small subunit ribosomal RNA
Source: RNAcentral